This is a long non-coding RNA of Mus caroli (Ryukyu mouse), 3523 nucleotides long. RefSeq lists it as uncharacterized. Lineage: Eukaryota; Metazoa; Chordata; Mammalia; Rodentia; Muridae. The record is from RefSeq and is a predicted model, not a curated record.
AAGACUCCUGGCCCAGUGUGUGGUGUGUUUCUUUUGGGUCGCUGACACUUGCCAUCCUGCUCAGCCCCGGACAGACCUGGCUGGACCAGGUUCUCUCCUCUCACCUGGACCUGCCAGCAAAGAGCGGAUAGGAGUUUGACCCAGGUCUUGGGGAUACAGGUCUGUGGAAGAGUGUGAUUUAGCAUGUAUGGGGUCCUGGGUUUAAUUCCUAGCACCACUCCCCACCACAGGUAAGAUUUUUCCUAAUAUUUGAGAUUUCUAUCUUUAACACCCUGGUUUAAAGUUCUGUCCAUGUCCUACCCAGGAUCCUUUGCAGUCAUAGCCUUCCUGGUAGACACACCUUCCCUCUGGUCCCCUUCAGUGUCUGUGUUCAUAUGGCUGCUUUCCAUCAUUUCCCAUCUGGGACCCCCCAUCACACACACACACACACACACACACACACACACACCAGACAGGGUUAUUGUGGUCACUUUAUGAAAAUAAACUGAGUAUAGUUUGACUAGUUCUCUGCCUAGUCUGGGUGACUGUGUAAGGGACAGUAUGAUAUUUCCUGCUCCUGAAACAACUGGCAAGGUGUGAGCCUCCAUGAGUGUUGAUGGUUGCUGUGUGUGUAAGGCACGUUUGUAUAGUAGUGUACAUAUGUCCCCUCUGCCAAGGUUAAUGCCUUCAUGAUAAUCUGAGACAGCCUGAGGCCAGGAGGCCGGAACAUGUCUUUGUCUCAUCAGAAUAGUAAAACGCUGUGACCUUCAGGACAGCCUUAAGGCUGUGGGAAAGAAUGAUGAAAACAUGAGUCCAAAAAGAUACAAUUUCCCAACUAUACAAAAUAUAAGGAUGUAAUAUGAAUUGUAUAAGGAGCUUCAUAGAUCUAAAGGGACAGAGAUAGGUUCACUAUGAGUCAGCAUGUCAAAGAUACAAAGAUAGAUAGAUUCCUGAGUUCAAGGUCAGCCUUGGACAGAGGGAGUUUAGGUCCAGGCUCGGGUGUGAUAGGAUUGGUAAUUUCAUGGCAGUGUUCUAUCCAGCUAUCUUAUUGUCUGUUUGUGCUUGCUGUCUCUUUCUAAGAUCAAGGGGAUGGGGUCAUGGAAUACUGAUUCAUGGGAUAAUCAAAAGGGAAUCUGGAGUAAUGACUGGAUCGAUAUGUAAGUAAAAAACUGGGCUUUUGGUCUGCAAGAGAGGAGCUAUCCAGAGAGUUAUUAGAAUAGCAAGAGAAAGCUGACUGAGCAGAGCAGAACAGAGAAAGCAGUCUGAAAAGUUGUCUUGAGCAGAACACACACACACACAAACAGAAAGGGGGGGGAGCGCAACCUGGAAAGAUGUCAAGAGCAGAACAUCAGCUUGGAACCGGGAUUUGACUUCGAGUUAUUUGUUUCACCACUCCCAGACACCCCUUCUCUCAGAACCCCUCUCCAAGCCGAGGCUGGUCCUUGGCUGUUCUCCCUUUCGGGAAAUCCUAAUGUAUAAAAGUCUACAUUAGCAAAACAGAAGUCCUGGGUUGCCUAACUACACAUCCCACUCAAAGCUAGUUUGUUUUACAGCAGAAUACCUUCAAAUGCCAAGCUCCCCAGUGCAUUGAGGAUGAGGUUCAGUUGAUGACAAAGUUGACUCAUAGCCUUCUAAGAACUAAAGCAUCAACAACAGCUUGCUUUAAGUCAAUUCUUUCAAUUACAUGCCGACGUAAUCUUAUAAGAUACUAAAAAUGACUGAGGAGUUUUCGAAGCUUCCACAUGUCGGAGUAGACACAGCAGUGCUCUGCAGCGAGCCCAGGACUGCUGGCUGUAAUUAUCUGAAAGAUUAUCAUAUGUGUUGACUGUUGGCACAUUGGAUAGGAAAGGUGCAGUAGAGACUAAGUAGGAUUAUCCAUUGAAGAUGCUGCAAGAGAGCCAGAGCGGCUGGCCCUUGUACACAGACAUGCUGGAAGAUAACAGAUUCCCAAUUGUGUUUGUUUUCUCUUUGUUCUGCAAUAACAAGCCCGACUUAAGUGGCAAAGCAGCUAGGAGGGCUGUGAACGUGCGUGAGAUGAUGAUUACAUGCGAGCAGCCUGGAUUGUCUGAUAGACGGGAGACGACCUGAAGUGCUACUCAUCACUCUUUGAACUGGCAAGAAAGGCUACUGUGCUGUCGAAGAAUGACUUGACCUGCAGACACAGUCCCGCCCUGGUUCAGGAGGUCAUUGCCUGACAGAGUCAAAGUUUCUGCUAUGCAUUUUAAUACAGAACGAUAGGUCUGGAGGAGCUCUUCCAGUUGGGAGAUUCAGCCGUAGUGUUCUUAUCACAUGCAAGACAGUGAGAUUAAUGGAAUUACAUAUUUCGUUUUGAAAGGUUACUGAGUUAACUCUGGUCACAGUAUCCUGUUACUGAAGUCCCCAAAUGUUCCAGUAUCCUUUUCCUCCAGUCUCUGUGCCAACUCCCCAAAAGUGGGAGGAGCUACUCAUGACCCAGCCCUCAGAUCCCCCAGGCAGGCUGGUGUUGAACAUAUAAGGCCGCUCGAGCUCUACCUCAGGAAGUCUAAGGGGUAUAGCAGAAUUUUAACUUGGUUGUAAUUGGAGACAAAACGCACUGCGGCUGAUUUGAAGAGGCCAUCCCUGAAUGCGGCUUUGUGUUCAGGAUCCUGAGAAAGUAAGAGCAACUUCCUCUAGAGACAAAGCCCUUGAUGGAGGCUCGAGGCCAAUCAAUGGGAAAAUUUCAACCUGACAUAAACAUAAUGCAUUAUGCAUGACAGUCUUCAGAAAGCCACUCACCAGCAGUCAUCCGGAAGCACAGAGGCUGGGUUACGGGGUGACUGUGGCUUCCUGCAAUGGCAUGGAAAAAAUGUCUAUCCAGUACAGGGUUAACUUGAGCAACACUUGGCUUUCAAUCUGUGAAAUAAGGAAAGGGGUGCUCUCACAACUUGUCUGAAUAGCCUCCUGUUGGGAAACGUCAUAGUAAUACAGCCAUGACCACUGAGAGUUAGAGAGUGCUUACUUAGUGCUGGAUCCUUGGUAGGCAGAAUCUCACUGGGUCAAUAACGAAGAUAAUUUUUAUCUUCUCAAAACAUAGUUUGAAGAGACAAAAGUUCGCAGAGAGAAGAAUCCUGCCCAACUUCUCAGAGGUAGGAAGAGGUGACUGGUCAGCUUGGUGGGAGUUUUUUUUUUUUUUUGGUUUGGAGAUCCACCCUUGUGCUUGGUAGGCAAAUGUUCUCCCAACUGAGCUAAAUCCCCUGCCUCAGAGCUGAAAUCUGAGCCCAGUGGUCUGAUUCUCAUCUUAGGCACCAAGGAACUCUGGCUUGAUUUUUUAAUGCACUACAGCUUGUUGUAAAGUUAAAAUGCUCUCUUUGGGGGUGGGGGGUGCUUUAGGAGUGGGAACCAAAACUGGACCUCGUCCUGAGUGCGCUGUUCCACAACAGAAGAAUUCCAUUUUCUUUAUAGUUUCUGGCACUAUCUCUCCCAAUUAAAACUAAACAUUGGCUACAGAAAAGGUCAGUGAAUUAUAGUCUUUCAUCCAAGUCUGUUGUUACCUGCUUUUAUAAAUAAAGUUUUAUUGGCACACAGA